CCUACGUGAGGCAGCAGUGGGGAAUAUUGCACAAUGGGGGAAACCCUGAUGCAGCGAUGCCGCGUGAGCGAUGAAGUAUUUCGGUAUGUAAAGCUCUUUCAGCAGGGAAGAAAAUGACGGUAUCUAUCUAUUAAGCCCCGGCUAACUCCGGGCCAGCAGGCGCGGUAAUACGUAGGGGGCAAGCGUUAUCCGGAUGUACUGGGUGUAAAGGUAGCGUAGACGGCGGUGCAAGCCAGAUGUGAAAGCCCGGGGCUCAACCCCGGGACUGCAUUUGGAACUGUGCUGCUAGAGUGUCGGAGAGGCAGGCGGAAUUCCUAGUGUAGCGGUGAAAUGCGUAGAGAUUAGGAGGAACACCAGUGGCGAAGGCGGCCUGCUGGACGAUGACUGACGUUGAUGCUCGAAAGCGUGGGGAGCAAACAGGAUUAGAUACCCCUGUAGUC
Molecule: ribosomal RNA, 440 nt
Filed under: uncultured bacterium
Lineage: Bacteria
Description: partial 16S ribosomal RNA
Rfam family: Bacterial small subunit ribosomal RNA
Source: RNAcentral